UCGUGCGUGGCCGGGGCCGACCUCAUAGUCGUCAAGAACGACUAUCGGCCCGAGUUCAAUAUCCCGGCGCACGAA
This 75-nucleotide transfer RNA is filed under the name Bacteroidia bacterium. Its description in RNAcentral is "tRNA-Leu". The record is from RNAcentral. Lineage: Bacteria; Pseudomonadati; Bacteroidota; Bacteroidia.